Long non-coding RNA from Nycticebus coucang (slow loris), 1210 nucleotides. RefSeq lists it as uncharacterized. The record is from RefSeq and is a predicted model, not a curated record. The transcript has 3 exons. Lineage: Eukaryota; Metazoa; Chordata; Mammalia; Primates; Lorisidae.
CGCUUGCGCAGUUUCACACCGGGCUGGCGCGGCGUAAACAACCGGCUGGAGUCGGUUUAUGGAUUUCUCUGAGGACGGAUUUUGGAAUUAGCUCAGUGGCUGUCCAGAUCUCAUCAAAGGAGCCACCGCGUGCGGUGACUUGAGAGAAUCUUUGUUGGCUGGUGCGGAGGGAUCUGGACUCCGAGAUUGUGGUGUGAGAUGUGUUUUCUUAUGAAACCCGACACUUGUGCAAAGUUAAUUCCCGCCGAGAGGGAGAGAGUUGUACGUGAAACCCACGGUUGAUCUCAAAGUCGUGAGAGUGCUGGGAUUACAGGCGUGAGCCACUGCGCCGGCCUGACCUUGUAACUUUCUUUGUGAGGCUAUUCUGUGUUCACCUGUGACUACUGGAUGAGGUGACUACAGGAGAAAGCUGGUUGCGACCAGGAAGAACUGAGAUGGAUGAAUCACAGACACCUGAGGUAGGGCGACAUCAUCCUGAACUUUAGCUGUGUGCAUAGGAGCAGUGAGAGGUGACUCUCUUGUGUAUCAUUGUGUGAUUGAAUGCAAGAGACCAGAGCUGAAUGAGCGUGAUGGAAGCUAGUACCCAUUUUCUGCCAGAAGGGACAGAUCGCUGGUAAAGGAUUUUUUAACCUUGCUGGUAAAAAAUUUUUUAAUCCUCUCUCUCUGCCUCUCUCGGUCUCCGUCUCUCCCCCCCUUUCCUCUCUCUCUCUUUUCUCCCCUCUCUAUAUUUCUCUCCCCACUCCUCCUUGGUGUUGUCCUGCAACAUCCCCCCGUCACCAAUAAAGACCUUUAGUACAAGCCUUGGUGGUCUAUGAGAUCUCUGCGGGUGGAGUUUGGUGUCAGAAGCGGGAUGUAAUUAGGGAACACUCCCAAGGGUAGUUUCCACCUCUUCCAAGGGAUUUUAGCUCCUGGGAGCUCCUUAUCCUCUUCUCGCACUCCCGGUGCUGACCACCACAUCGGCUUGUGUCGAUUCGCCAAAGCACUCUAACCAGCACCCACCACCGGCCCCAUCCAGACUUGAAAAGCGAUUCUGCUGUGUCUGAUUGUGCUGUGUCCUAUGCGUGAGAUGGUUUGCACUUGAGACUGCCACUGGGAGGCGACAUGGAGUGAAAUCAGUGAAGUACAGUUGGCCCUUGUAUCUGUAGGUUCCCCCUCUGUGGAUUCAACCAACUCCAAUUAAAAAUAUAACAUUAAAAAAAAUGAUUGUGAC